GGGGGUGUGGGCAUGUGAGUGUGUGUGUGUCACUUGGGUCCACGCUCAUGCACACACCCACACGCCCACACUCCAGC
Molecule: non-coding RNA, 77 nt
Organism: Eptesicus fuscus (big brown bat)
Lineage: Eukaryota; Metazoa; Chordata; Mammalia; Chiroptera; Vespertilionidae
Source: RefSeq, marked provisional